CAUGCCUCUUGGAGAGAUGGAGUUUAUGUAUUAGUACUUGUUUGUAUAUGUAGGGCUAGAGAAUUUAGCAUUAUUAGAGGUUGUAUUGCUCUGAAGCAUCUUGGAUUCUAAUUGGGAAAGAGACAUGGAUGUAAGGAAAUCUGAGCUAUGUACAGCAAACUGAGAUGUGGUGUCAUUUUGCAAUAUUUUCUUGUGGUUUCUUCUUUUAAAAAUUUGCUGUAGUAGUGCGUGAUUAUUUUGAAAGAAAAUGAUCCAAAGUUACUAUGAUGAAG
Molecule: unclassified non-coding RNA, 272 nt
Filed under: Hevea brasiliensis (rubber tree)
Lineage: Eukaryota; Viridiplantae; Streptophyta; Magnoliopsida; Malpighiales; Euphorbiaceae
Source: RNAcentral